AGGGCUUUGACAUAUACAGGAAUGUUGUUAGAGAUACAGCAGCCGCUUGCGGUCUGUAUACAGGUGCUGCAUGGCUGUCGUCAGCUCGUGCUGUGAAGUGUUGGUUAAGUCCCGCAACGAGCGCAACCCUAUCAUCUGUUGCCAGCAUUUAAGGUGGGGACUCAGAUGAGACUGCCGGUGACAAACCGGAGGAAGGUGGGGACGACGUCAAGUCAUCAUGGCCCUUAUGUCCUGGGCUACACACGUGCUACAAUGGCCGGUACAGAGUGAAGCGAAACCGCGAGGUGAAGCAAAACGCAGAAAGCCGGUCUCAGUACGGAUUGGAGUCUGAAACUCGACUUCAUGAAGUUGGAAUCGCUAGUAAUCGCGCAUCAGCAUGGCGCGGUGAAUACGUUCCCGGGCCUU
RNAcentral lists this ribosomal RNA (405 nucleotides) under uncultured Spirochaeta sp. RNAcentral describes it as "bacterial SSU rRNA". It matches the Rfam family "Bacterial small subunit ribosomal RNA", at positions 976 to 1382 of the family's 1533-position model. Lineage: Bacteria; Pseudomonadati; Spirochaetota; Spirochaetia; Spirochaetales; Spirochaetaceae. The record is from RNAcentral.